CGUGGGUAACCUGCCCAAGAGAUCGGGAUAACACCUGGAAACAGAUGCUAAUACCGGAUAACAACAGAUGAUGCCUAUCAACUGUUUAAAAGAUGUUUCUGCUAUCACUCUUGGAUGGACCUGCGGUGCAUUAGCUAGUUGGUAGGGUAACGGCCUACCAAGGCGAUGAUGCAUAGCCGAGUUGAGAGACUGAUCGGCCACAUUGGGACUGAGACACGGCCCAAACUCCUACGGGAGGCAGCAGGC
RNAcentral lists this ribosomal RNA (246 nucleotides) under uncultured Lactobacillus sp. RNAcentral's name for it is "partial 16S ribosomal RNA". It matches the Rfam family "Bacterial small subunit ribosomal RNA", at positions 116 to 354 of the family's 1533-position model. The record is from RNAcentral. Lineage: Bacteria; Bacillati; Bacillota; Bacilli; Lactobacillales; Lactobacillaceae.